AUCCGCUACAAUGUAGCGUUUGUAUAUAUUCGCUGUUUACCCAUUAAUGCUGCCAGAUUAUAUCGUACAUUGUUAUCGCCAUCGGUGUGUAUUUAUGAGAAGCGUCAAUACCGCUUUAGUCUCAUCUAAAACAUCCUAUACACGUUAAAUGGAAAAAAGCCACCUGGCGCUAAAAUGGUUUUUUCCAUGUUGAUAUCGGAGACAAAAGUGAAAGUAAGUUACAGGAGACAUUUAUCCUCAAAAUAACUGCGUCACGUUAUCCUAGCACAAAAAUCAGAGCCAGUAAGAGGAGAUCAGACGCGCCAGUGCAGCUCCGUGAGCACAGAAUGAGUCAAGUACAAAAAACCAAAGAUGGAGAUUUUUCUCCGGGAUGCAGUUCAGUCCAUCAGAAGAGCUCAGAUUCACCAGAGCCCAGCUGUGUGUCCAUGAAGAGUGACUGGUCUAUGGAUCCUCCACUACAAAUGAAGUGUGGAGACAGAAGCCAGAGUCACAGUUUGGCUCAGCAGAAGAGCUCAGAUUCACCAGAGCCCAGCUGUGUGUCCAUGAAGAGUGACUGGUCUAUGGAUCCUCCACUACAAAUGAAGAGUGGAGACAGAAGCCAGAGUCACAGACCAGCUGUAACAGAACCCGUCUGUAAGAAAAUAAAACAUGACGAGUCUGUGAAUCAACCACAGGACUUUGAUGAAAGCAUGUAUCCUGGUGUCAGCCAUGACUCCAAUUCUGAAAUCCUCAACACGUUUAAAUCAAAUCUGAAGAAUAAGUUUCAGUGUCUUUAUGAAGGAAUAGCAAAGCAGGGAAACCCAACACUCCUGAAUGAGAUCUACACAGAGCUCUACAUCACAGAGAGUGAGAGUGGAGGCUCAUAUUUCCUCUUCCUUUCAGAGAAAUCAAUCUGAUGAAGGACAAAACACUCAGUCUUUCAGAUCUUCUUCAUUACUUUUUCCCUGAAACAAAAGAAAUAGACAUUUUUAGUGAUGAAUAUGAAGUGUUGUUCAUCUUUGAUGGUCUGGACGAGUGUCGUCUGUCUCUGGAUUUUCAGAGCGAUGUGAGGUUGUGUGAUGUAAGUGAAUCAGCCUCAGUGGACGUGCUGCUGAUGAACCUCAUUGUGGGGAAUCUGCUUCCCUCUGCUCUCAUCUGGAUCACCUCCAGACCAGCAGCAGCUGAUCUCGUCCCCUCUGAGUGUGUCCAUCGAGUGACAGAGGUACGAGGCUUCAAUGAGCCACAGAAGGAGGAAUACUUCAGGAAGAGAAUCAGUGAUCAGAGUCUGGCCAAUAGGAUCAUCUCACACCUGAAGUCAAACAGGAGCCUCUUCAUAAUGUGCCACAU
This 1326-nucleotide long non-coding RNA is filed under the name Sinocyclocheilus anshuiensis. RNAcentral's name for it is "lncRNA (ENSSANG00000028363.1)". The record is from RNAcentral. Lineage: Eukaryota; Metazoa; Chordata; Actinopteri; Cypriniformes; Cyprinidae.